GAUGAGGCCCGCGCAAGGAUUAGGUAGUUGGUGGGGUAAUGGCCUACCAAGCCGACGAUCUUUAGCUGGUCUGAGAGGAUGAUGCAGCCACACUGGGACUGAGACACGGCCCAGACUCCUACGGGAGGCAGCAGUGGGGAAUAUUGGACAAUGGGCGAAAGCCUGAUCCAGCAAUACCGCGUGAAUGAUGAGAGGCCCUAGGGUUGUAAAGUUCUUUUAAUAGGGAAGAUAAUGACGGUACCUAUAGAAAAAGCCCCGGCUAACUCCGU
RNAcentral lists this ribosomal RNA (269 nucleotides) under uncultured bacterium. Its description in RNAcentral is "partial 16S ribosomal RNA". It matches the Rfam family "Bacterial small subunit ribosomal RNA", at positions 223 to 506 of the family's 1533-position model. The record is from RNAcentral.